UACGUAGGGGGCAAGCGUUGUCCGGAUUUAUUGGGCGUAAAGAGCGUGUAGGCGGCCAGACAGGUCCGUUGUGAAAACUCGAGGCUCAACCUCGAGACGCCGAUGGAAACCGUCUGGCUAGAGUCCGGAAGAGGAGAGUGGAAUUCCUGGUGUAGCGGUGAAAUGCGCAGAUAUCAGGAAGAACACCCGUGGCUAAGGCGGCUCUCUAGUACGGUACUGACGCUGAGACGCGAAAGCCAGGGGAGCAAACGGG
RNAcentral lists this ribosomal RNA (253 nucleotides) under uncultured bacterium. Its description in RNAcentral is "partial 16S ribosomal RNA". It matches the Rfam family "Bacterial small subunit ribosomal RNA", at positions 524 to 776 of the family's 1533-position model. The record is from RNAcentral.